This 2685-nucleotide small RNA is filed under the name Pongo abelii (Sumatran orangutan). Its description in RNAcentral is "retained intron". The record is from RNAcentral. Lineage: Eukaryota; Metazoa; Chordata; Mammalia; Primates; Hominidae.
CAAUACAUAGGAACACUUGGGUCCCUGCAGUCAGGGUGUGGAAAUGGCACACGAGUUCAGCCCUACGGUGCAUUUUUCUUACUAGGAGGAGAUGAAGUGUAUUUUAUGGGAUAUAAGUAUUAGUUACAUUUCCUGUCCUGUUCACAUCCUUUGCCCAUGUGUCUGUGAGGUUAUUGAUCUUUCUUACUGAUUUAUUGUAGCUCUUUACUUAGGAGGUUAAUUAGCCCUUUGCCUGUGGAGAGUUUUUUGGUUUGCCAUUUGUCCUUUUUUAAUUUUUUUCAUUUUUUGGCCAUUUGUCUUUUGACUCUGAUGUGGUUUUUGCUGAUUUCCUUUGAUGUAUUCUAAUUUAUCUGACUUUUCUUUGGCGACUUAUGGAUUUUCUCUCACCCACUAAAAGCCCUCACUACUCUCUCAGUCUUCUUGAUUUAACCUCCUCCAGGCUUCCGCCUUCUCCAGGCCCUGAUUCUCAGUUGGAGUUGCUGGUGCCUCCUCCUUCACCCAGCGUCUGAUGCUGGAGUGCUCACAGUGUGGCUGGGACCCACUUCUCUCCUCUGUAGACACCCACCCCUGUGUUGAUCACUUGCAGGCCCUGGGUUCUGUGUGCCAUGUGUAUGCCCUAGAGCCCUUGCUCACGUUUCCCCACAGCCUGCAUGAAGUCUGUGUUCCUCAGAUGCCCCACAGACAUCAGAAGCAAGGCACAUCCAAACCCCAGACCACCAUCCAGGAGUCUGCACCCUCUUUCUCUUGGCUCCACCUCCAGCCUCCGAGACCCACCCACUUCCCUGCAUUUGCUGAGACCAUCAUUUUCCACCUAGACAAUGCCCCCACGCUUGCCCUACCGCCCUUCCAAAAACGAUUUUUUCCAACUUACAUCAGACCUAGAAAGCUUUUUCACAUAGCCCAGUCUUCCUCCUUGUGCGGGGUUCUGUCUCAUUAUCACCUCAUCAGGGAAGUCUGUACAGAUAGAAUCCCCACCCCUGCCUUUGUCGCUUCCGUCUGCUUCUUUGGUCAGUUUCAGGUCCCUGUAGUUCACACUGUGUCCCCAGGGCUGAAGUGGGUCCCGGCACGGUGGGCAUUCUGUCAUGAAUGAAUGGUCCCCUUGUGUAUGCAGGGUUUGCGCUGCAGCUAGACAGCAUCUCCGCAGGUCCAGGUAGUGUAAGCCCUCACCUCCACGUCCCCUGGGACCUCGGCAUGGCUGGCCUUUCUGGCCAGAUCCAAUCACCCUCCCGCGAAGGUGGCUUUGCGCAUGCGCUUGUGCUCCCCAGCGAUCUGAGGAGUGAACAGGACCCCACGGACGAGGAUCCCUGCCGGGCUGUGGGCCCUGCUCUGGUCACCACCCGCUGGCGCUCCCCCAGGGGCCGGAGCCGGGGCCGCCCCAGCACUAGGGGCGGGGUGGUUAGGGGCGGCCGUUGCGAUGUAUGUGGCAAGGUGUUCAGCCAACGCAGCAACCUGCUGAGGCACCAGAAGAUCCACACGGGUGAGCGACCAUUCGUGUGCAGCGAGUGCGGCCGCAGCUUCAGCCGCAGCUCGCACCUGCUGCGCCACCAGCUUACGCACACCGAGGAGCGGCCGUUCGUGUGCGGUGACUGCGGCCAGGGCUUCGUGCGCAGCGCGCGCCUGGAAGAGCAUCGGAGAGUGCACACGGGCGAACAGCCUUUCCGUUGCGCUGAGUGCGGCCAGAGCUUCCGGCAGCGCUCCAAUCUGCUGCAGCACCAGCGCAUCCACGGCGAUCCCCCGGGCCCUGGCGCUACACCCCCGGCCCCUCCUAGUGCGCCCGAGCCUCCUGGCCCCUUUCCGUGCAGCGAGUGCCGCGAGAGCUUCGCGCGGCGUGCCGUGCUACUGGAGCACCAGGCGGUACACACGGGCGACAAGUCCUUUGGCUGCGUCGAGUGCGGCGAGCGCUUCGGCCGCCGGUCAGUGCUGCUGCAGCACCGGCGCGUGCACAGUGGCGAGCGGCCGUUCGCCUGUGCCGAGUGCGGCCAGAGCUUCCGGCAGCGCUCCAACCUGACGCAGCACCGGCGCAUCCACACCGGGGAGCGGCCCUUCGCCUGCGCCGAGUGUGGCAAGGCCUUCCGCCAGCGGCCCACGCUCACGCAGCAUCUCCGCGUACACACGGGCGAGAAACCCUUUGCCUGCCCCGAGUGUGGCCAGCGCUUCAGCCAGCGCCUCAAGCUCACGCGUCAUCAGAGGACACACACCGGCGAAAAGCCCUACCACUGCGGUGAGUGCGGCCUGGGCUUCACGCAGGUCUCGCGGCUCACCGAGCACCAGCGCAUCCACACUGGCGAACGGCCCUUCGCCUGCCCCGAGUGCGGCCAGAGCUUUCGGCAGCACGCCAACCUCACCCAACACCGGCGCAUCCACACGGGCGAACGGCCCUACGCAUGCCCUGAGUGUGGCAAGGCUUUCCGCCAGCGGCCCACGCUCACGCAGCAUCUGCGCACCCACCGACGAGAGAAGCCCUUCGCUUGCCAGGACUGUGGCCGCCGCUUCCACCAGAGCACCAAGCUCAUUCAGCACCAGCGCGUCCACAGCGCCGAGUAGCUCCAGCCGGAACGCACUGUGUUCGCCAUGGUCAGAACACCUACCUCCCCUGGUUGUUGUGAGGCCGACGAUUACAUAAGCAUAAGGAGGUCUGCCCAGGGCUUGGCUACUGUAGGUGUCCAAUAAACAGUAGAUGGAAAC